AGCAGCCGCGGUAAUUCCAGCUCCAAUAGCGUAUAUUAAAGUUGUUGCAGUUAAAAAGCUCGUAGUUGAAUUUCGGGAUUGGCGCAUCGGUCGUGCCUCACGGGGUAUGAACUGGUGCAGUCAAUUUCUCGCCUUCUGGAGAACCGCGAUGUCCUUAAUUGGGUGCCGCGGGGAACCAGGACCUUUACUUUGAAAAAAUUAGAGUGUUUAAAGCAGGCAUUUUUGCUUGAAUACAUUAGCAUGGAAUAAUAAAAUAGGACGGCAUGGUUCUAUUUUGUUGGUUUCUAGGACCACCGUAAUGAUUAAUAGGGAUAGUUGGGGGCAUUAGUAUUCAAUUGUCAGAGGUGAAAUUCUUGGAUUUAUUGAAGACUAACUACUGCGAAAGCAUUCGCCAAGGAUGUUUUCAUUAAUCAAGAACGAAAGUUAGGGGAUCGAAGACGAUCAGAUACCGUCGUAGUCUUAACCAUAAACUAUGCCGACUAGGAAUCAGACGAUGUUAAUUUUUUAAUGACUCGCUUGG
RNAcentral lists this ribosomal RNA (520 nucleotides) under uncultured Glomeromycotina. RNAcentral describes it as "SSU rRNA". It matches the Rfam family "Eukaryotic small subunit ribosomal RNA", at positions 569 to 1083 of the family's 1831-position model. Lineage: Eukaryota; Fungi; Glomeromycota. The record is from RNAcentral.